UACGGGGGGGGUAAGCGUUGUUCGGAAUUACUGGGCGUAAAGGGCUCGUAGGCGGCCAACUAAGUCAGACGUGAAAUCCCUCAGCUUAACUGGGGAACUGCGUCUGAUACUGGAUGGCUUGGAUUCGGGAGAGGAAUGCGGAAUUCCAGGUGUAGCGGUGAAAUGCGUAGAUAUCGGGAGGAACACCCGUAGCGAAGGCGGCUUACUGGCUCGUAACUGACGCUGAGGCGCGAAAGCGUGGGGAGCAAACAGG
This 253-nucleotide ribosomal RNA is filed under the name uncultured bacterium. RNAcentral's name for it is "partial 16S ribosomal RNA". It matches the Rfam family "Bacterial small subunit ribosomal RNA", at positions 524 to 776 of the family's 1533-position model. The record is from RNAcentral.